AGUGGCGGACGGGUGAGUAACGCGUGAGAAUCUGCCUUGGGGUCGGGGACAACCACUGGAAACGGUGGCUAAUACCGGAUAAGCCGAUUGGUGAAAGAUUUAUUGCCCGAAGAGGAGCUCGCGUCUGAUUAGCUAGUUGGUGAGGUAAGAGCUCACCAAGGCAGCGAUCAGUAGCUGGUCUGAGAGGACGAUCAGCCACACUGGGACUGAGACACGGCCCAGACUCCUACGGGAGGCAGCAGUGGGGAAUUUUCCGCAAUGGGCGAAAGCCUGACGGAGCAAGACCGCGUGAGGGAGGAAGGCUCUUGGGUUGUAAACCUCUUUUCUCAGGGAAGAAGCUCUGACGGUACCUGAGGAAUCAGCCUCGGCUAACUCCGUGCCAGCAGCCGCGGUAAUACGGAGGAGGCAAGCGUUAUCCGGAAUUAUUGGGCGUAAAGCGUCCGCAGGUGGCGAUUCAAGUCUGCUGUCAAAGCACGGGGCUUAACUCCGUAAAGGCAGUGGAAACUGAAUAGCUAGAGUGCCGUAGGGGUAGAGGGAAUUCCCGGUGUAGCGGUGNAAUGCGUAGAGAUCGGGAAGAACAUCGGUGGCGAAAGCGCUCUACUGGACGGCAACUGACACUCAGGGACGAAAGCUAGGGGAGCGAAUGGGAUUAGAUACCCC
This 660-nucleotide ribosomal RNA is filed under the name uncultured bacterium. RNAcentral's name for it is "bacterial SSU rRNA". It matches the Rfam family "Bacterial small subunit ribosomal RNA", at positions 94 to 788 of the family's 1533-position model. The record is from RNAcentral.